This is a small nuclear RNA of Otolemur garnettii (small-eared galago), 164 nucleotides long. Its record names the gene U1. It matches the Rfam family "U1 spliceosomal RNA". Rfam says of the family: U1 is a small nuclear RNA (snRNA) component of the spliceosome (involved in pre-mRNA splicing). Lineage: Eukaryota; Metazoa; Chordata; Mammalia; Primates; Galagidae. The record is from Ensembl.
GCAUUUACCUGGGAGGGGAGAUACUAUGAUCACAAAGGUGGUUUUCCCAGGACAUGGCUUAUCCAUUGCACUCUGGAGGAACUAACCCCUGCAAUUUCCCCAAAUAUGGGAAACUUGACUGCAUAAUUUGUGGUAGUCGGGGACUGUGUUCAUGCUCUCCCCUG